RNAcentral lists this small nuclear RNA (151 nucleotides) under Mesocricetus auratus (golden hamster). RNAcentral describes it as "U1 spliceosomal RNA (ENSMAUG00000004352.1)". The record is from RNAcentral. Lineage: Eukaryota; Metazoa; Chordata; Mammalia; Rodentia; Cricetidae.
AUAUUUACCUUCAGAGGAGAUGGGAUCAUGUGGGUGUUUUUCUCAGACCAAGACUUAACUAUUACACUCCAGAAUGUGCUGACAUCUGGUUAAUGUGGGAAACUCAACUGUAUAAUUCAUGGUAGUAUAGAGACUGCAUUCAAGGUCUCCC